AGCAGUCGCCACGGUAAUACGUAGGGUGCAAGCGUUAAUCGGAAUUACUGGGCGUAAAGCGUGCGCAGGCGGUUAUAUAAGACAGAUGUGAAAUCCCCGGGCUCAACCUGGGAACUGCAUUUGUGACUGAAUAGCUAGAGUACGGCAGAGGGGGAUGGAAUUCCGCGUGUAGCAGUGAAAUGCGUAGAUAUGCGGAGGAACACCGAUGGCGAAGGCAAUCCCCUGGGCCUGUACUGACGCUCAUGCACGAAAGCGUGGGGAGCAAACAGGAUUAGAUACCCGCGUAGUCCCUGUCUCUUAUAC
This 303-nucleotide ribosomal RNA is filed under the name uncultured bacterium. RNAcentral's name for it is "partial 16S ribosomal RNA". It matches the Rfam family "Bacterial small subunit ribosomal RNA", at positions 507 to 807 of the family's 1533-position model. The record is from RNAcentral.